AAGUGAGAAGCAAAACAUUGCAAUCAGUUUCGGCCUGAUGUUAGAUAAGAAAUUAUCCACACUUU
This 65-nucleotide transfer RNA is filed under the name Pseudacanthotermes spiniger. RNAcentral's name for it is "tRNA-Arg". Lineage: Eukaryota; Metazoa; Arthropoda; Insecta; Blattodea; Termitidae. The record is from RNAcentral.